UACGAGUGCUCCAAGCGUUAUCCGGAAUCAUUGGGCGUAAAGGGUGUGUAGGCGGUUGUGUUAGUCUUUUGUUAAAUUCUUCGGCUUAACCGGGGGCAUGCGAAAGAAACGGCACAACUAGAGGAUGCGAGAGGUGAAUGGAACUCAUGGAGUAGGGGUGAAAUCCGUUGAUAUCAUGGGGAACACCAAAAGCGAAGGCAAUUCACUGGCGCACUCCUGACGCUGAAACACGAAAGCGUAGGUAGCGAAUGGG
This 253-nucleotide ribosomal RNA is filed under the name uncultured bacterium. RNAcentral's name for it is "partial 16S ribosomal RNA". It matches the Rfam family "Bacterial small subunit ribosomal RNA", at positions 524 to 776 of the family's 1533-position model. The record is from RNAcentral.